UACAGAGGUGCCGAGCGUUAGGCGGAAUCACUGGGCUUAAAGGGUGCGCAGGCGGGAGAUUAAGUCAGGGGUGAAAGACGGUUGCUCAACAAUCGCAGUGCCUUUGAUACUGGUUUUCUUGGGUGACCUUGAGGUAGGCGGAAUGGGGGGUGUAGCGGUGAAAUGCAUAGAUACCCCCCAGAACUCCGAUUGCGAAGGCAGCCUACUGGAGGUUCACCGACGCUCAGGCACGAAAGCGUGGGGAUCAAACAGG
Molecule: ribosomal RNA, 253 nt
Filed under: uncultured bacterium
Lineage: Bacteria
Description: partial 16S ribosomal RNA
Rfam family: Bacterial small subunit ribosomal RNA
Source: RNAcentral